This is a non-coding RNA of Xyrichtys novacula (pearly razorfish), 5851 nucleotides long. The record is from the annotation of a GenBank genome assembly. Lineage: Eukaryota; Metazoa; Chordata; Actinopteri; Labriformes; Labridae.
CAGAGGGAGAGAGAGGGAGAGAGAGAGAGAGAGAGAGAAAGAGACAGUGAGGCAGAAAGACACUGUCUGAAAGUUGAGAAGAAUAUCAGCAAACAUGAAAAUCAAUAUCGUUUUGGCCUCUGAAAACUUAGUAUGUGGCAGAAUAACUAAAAGAAAAAAAAAAACAUUUGAUGAAAACAUGACUCUCUCUCAGCUCAAAAGAGAGUGCAGUCUGUGUUUAAGUGUCUUUUCUCUGCCUCAAUAAUGGUAGCCAAGCUGACCAGGUGAAGAUUUAGCAGCCUGUCGCAGAAUUACUCCCCUCUUUCCCCCGCAGUGCUGUAAUCAGGAGGCAGAGGGACAAACAAUAACAGGCAAAGCAAUAACCUGGAAGAAGCAAUAACCCGACCGCUCCACCUUGGGUGUGCAAAGAGUUUAAGAGCGUGUAUGGACAAUAAUCAGACUCUGCUCACAAAAGGGGGUGUAGGCUAUUAAAUAAAACCCCUCUGCCUUUUCCUUGUGUGGGUGGGUUAAAUACUGUGGUGGGUGUCAGCUGCAGUGAAGGAAAGACUGAAAUUCUUGUUCUGAAGUGCACAAGAGCUAACUGGUCUGAUGAGGCUCCAGCCACAGGCCCUGUACAGGGGGGUGGGGGGUUGCCAUGUUCUUCGACAAUUAGGCUUCACAUGUAUUAAAUGAGACAGGAAAGGAAAUGAGGGCAAGGCACUGUUCACUAAAUGAGAUUCUGGACACGACUUACAUUUUCGGUGGUCAGUGUCAGUAAUCCUACUGUUUGAAUUGCUUUAAAACCUUGCAUAAGCAUCAAGGUGAGAAGAUCAAAUUGCAAACCUCCCUCCAAGUGUCUGUUGGACAUCAUCCGGCACUGCAAUGAGUCAGAGAAAGACAGAAAAAGAUGCAAAGUGUCCAACAGUCAGGGGAAGUGAACACCUCUUGGGAACAUAUUUGAUUCAAGCAUCUUCAUCUCCUCCCCAUUGUGGUGUCAGAUUUAGAUUUUCCACUGUGGACUGGAUUUAUUCCUGUUCCCAACAACCUGAAGAUCAUUCAAGAUGACACACCACGCCUCUAGGCAGUUAAGUUUAGAAAAAGAAACUAAAGUGUAAACUAAAGGAUGCUUAAAGAAUCUUCAUGCAAUAUUGUGAUUUUAACCAGUAUAAUUUGACCUACCCAAGAGCCUCUUCACAUACAGAAGUUUGAAUGGCAGAAUAAAGGAGGGCUAGAAAACACACAAAAAGAAACAAAACACUUGCUCUGGGGAAGCGGUGGCUCAUGGUAGUCAUCUGUCUCAUAGUGUGAAUGUGACGUCAGAAAGUAGGGAAAGCGCUUUGUAAACAUCGCCCAUUUACUAUCUUCUGACAUCAACAAUUAUGAACACAGUCAACAAGGAUAGAGUGAAUCAUGAAAGUACUUGAAUUGUGCUCAAGGAUAAAUUACUGCCUUCUGCACUGAUUUCACAUUUGCAUGCAUCAUCUUAUCCUUUCAAUUUGAUGAUCUAUUAAAGAGACAAGAAUCAUGAUCAUUGUGUCUGAUCUGCUGUCACUUCUGCCAGUGCUGGUUCUCACUCCAUCACAUGACUCCACUACAUUUAAAAGAUUAAUAUUGUUCUAUUGACACCACCAUAUGUCUACGUAAGUUCUCAUCGCUCAAUUACUUUACACUGAGGUCAGUUGAUGAAUUUACUUCUCGUUUCAUGAAUCUGAUCAGAAGGGAAAUAAAGUGUGAUAGUGUAGUUGGUUGUGUAGUUUGUCCAAGUGGUGUUGCCAUACCUACUGUGGCACCCAUGACUAUGUUGCACCCAUAUUUGAAUAAUGUUGUUAAAGUCAACAUGAUAUAGCACAUUGUACACCCAUAUACUCUUGAAAGCACUCGUGCAAAACCCAACGCUGUUUUGAGAUUUUAUUUUUUAUUUUUUUUACUCAACUGCUUAAACUAAUGAUUUCUUUGUCUUGAAUUGGAGUAUUAUUGGAUGAAGGGUAGGGGUGUUCUGAUACAACUUUUUUACUUCUGAUAUGAUACAAUAUUGUAGCCUUCAGUAUCGGCCGAUACCGAUAUGGAUCCAAUAUUGGCACAAACUUGUACAUGACAAGUGUUGCACUCAGCUGCCACUCAGCCGACAUCACUCCUACUCCUUGCUACUUCGUUAGUAGCUUAGUACACACAGUCGUUGUGAUCAUGUGGGCUCAGCAUACUGGAUCGAGGCACUGCUAGCUAGAGGUGCCGGAGUGGAGUCUGGAAUGGACUGUUUGUAUUGGAGUGCUGAUAUUGGAGAUUUUAGAUGCAGGUUGAGAGAAUCCGAUAUUUGUUUUUUGGCUGAUAUCUUAUCAGGUCAGUCCUAGUUGAGGGUAUCUAUAAUUUGACCCAAGUGUCUACACUCUGUGUAUGUGGUCGACCACUGGUGAAAAGGGAUUGAGUCCAAGAUAAGACACCAGUUUAAAAAACAAAAAAAACAUCUCUGCUGCCACAUUAAUAGUUUUGAUCAAUACACUGUGAGUAGUUAGCCAGGAUUUAAAUUCUGAGACUUGAAAAUCGCCAGGAAUGCACCUGAGAAAGAAUGGAUCAUGGACUCACCAAAUACUGCAGCCAAAUUGAAUCUGUAAACCGGUGAGAUGUGUUCAUCCUCCUGAAAUAUUUGUGGACUGCAUGGUUCAGGGCUUUAGAGGGUAACGUCCCUCAUAUAAAAUCAGAUCAGAAAACUGCACAUGCUCAUCUGAAGCAGAAAGAUACUGCUGCUAACUUGAUGAGAGAGGAUUCUUUGUAUCAUCUGCUUACAUGCCCUUGAAAAAGCUAUAAAUAUGUGGUGCACCAUCAAUGCAUCCUCAAGUGUUGCUGUUUACUUGUAAAUCUAAUAUACUUUGUUUAAUCUCCCUUUCCACAGUCUAGAAAUAGAGUGCAGUCUGUUGUGCCUGUAUCAACAUUUUCAUAUAUCAUAUACGAUCCUUGAUAUUACCUGCUAGUUUCAAGUUGAAAAGGAAUUAAAAACCAUAAUUAGCUUCGAAUACGGCAGCAGGUCCUUACACUCACUGAGAAAAACUUGAGUUCAUUCACAGUAUGAGGGUCUUCAGAUGAAUACUUUUUUCCUAUGCAUGUCCUUGUUACAUUUAUAAAGGUUACUGAGAAAGAAAUUCUCCUAUAUGGAUCCUGAUUUCUAAGUAUUGUCUGUGCCUUUUCAUGAUUGCAUGAAGAUGUGUGCGUCUACAUUUAUGACCGUGAACAUGUUAAGGAGAACAUGACUUGAGCCUUCUUGUUAGCUAUCCAGAUGAAAUGUCGAGGGCCAAGGACCAGAUGGGUUGAGGUGAUUGAGGAUGUUACCAUGGCAACAAUGGCCCUUUUAUCCAGAGUGAUGAACAGGAGCGCCUUCAUUAUUAAAACAUCAGAGCAAAAUGGGUUUGACAUGGGUUUACAUCAUUGGCAGAAAUGAAAAUGUACCUUAAAAAAAUCACAAAAUUAUAAAGAAAAGACACAUCCUGUCUGAAAAUGAUGCAGAAGAACUGGGUCUGUGGAUUUGUCCCCUCUGUGUCACUCUUAGCUCAAGUACUGGCUGGAACUAAAAAAAGAGAGCUUUUCUAUGUUAGCUUCUCUACUCUGGCUCCACACAAAAGAGAAUUUAAUGCCUCAUUUUGUGGCAUUUUGAUCUUCUUGCUGACUUUUUUUAAAUAUUUAAUGUAGAAAAUCAUAAAACAGGGCUUUUUCUUUAGUGACCCCUUUGUCAACUAACCCCUAAACCAAUUCCAGAAAUAAAUAAAUUACAGUGUAAAAAUAAUUAAUCUUGUUGCUGGUGGUCAUGUUUGCUUUUCUUAAAAAGGCAUCAACAUAAAUUUCAGCCCAUUUCAUUAAAACAAGAGGAGUUUUAAAAUCCUUCUUCUGACCUGUAAAGAUCUUCAUAGUCAGGCACUAUCUGGUCUCAAAGAGUACCCCAUUUCCCCGGUAAAACGUUACCACCCUUGCGUGAAGACCGACUCUUUGUAGCUGAAGCCUCUAAAAGUAGUAGGGGAGGUCGAGCCUUCAGUUAUUAGACCGCUCUCCGCUGAAACAUCAGAGUCAUGGAGGCAGACUGUGCUUUAAGAGUCAGCUUAAAACUUAACUCUGAUUAACCUUAAAGUUACGGCCGGCUCCAACUCUCAGUUUCAUUGCUUUAAGCUUAGACUGGCGAGGGAGCUGACACAUUGAGCUCCUUCGUCUAUAAAUGGUGUUUUUAAUCACUGGUUUAUUGUAUUAUUAUAUAGAAUUUAAACCAUAGAAGCAGUGUGAGCUUCUCAGUUCAAUCUAUCCCUGUGAAAAUGUAAGUCGGUGCUGUUUUUAUCAUUUUUCUUUAAUCUGAUUUUUCUGAUUAUUCUGAUUAUGGUCAAACUUUUAAUCAAAAAAUAUAAUUUCUAUGUUAUAUUUAAAGCUAUUGUCAUGACUUGAAUUCUUCUUCUGUCAAUCCCUUUAUUUUUAGCUGUAACUAUUGAAAUGAGCUCGCCAGAUGGCUCUCCAAAUCCUCCUCAUUCUGUGCCUAUAGCCCCAGUCAUUGUUGUUCUAUACGAUAGCACUGCUGACCUAUACGAAUAGACCAACAACAGCCACCCACCCCCACCCUCACCACCAACACCUCUGUGCCUGCGAUCUGCUGAGUCGACAGGCUGUACAGAGCCACAAAGAGAGAAAGGGCACAGGAGACAGGGGGGGGAGAAGAGCUACACGGCAGGACAGGGGUGAUUUUAGGAUCAGACCUUUUAGGGUGCUCAGCAUGAUAUAGAAAGAGCGUGUGCGCGGUAUAAAACAGCAGCACCAGAUUUGAAUCAAAGUUUAUGUGAAAGAGGAGCUGUUUGUUAAACAGAAAGAGAGGUAGGUUAAAAAUAUCCAGGUAAGCACGAGUGGGGAAAAUGAGUGAUAACCUCCAAUCAGCUUCAUUUAUUGGAUUCAGAGUAAAGUCAAAACCUGACUUCAGGUUUGGUUGUAUUUUUCCUUUUUUUGUCUAUAUAAAAUUACUUAGAUUUAAACAUCAGAUUCUUGUUUGAUUUUUAGGGGUAAUGUUGGUCUUUACCACCAAUAAAAAGAUUUAACUUUGACUUUAUGCUCUGACAAUUUUUGUCUUGUAAGAGACCUUAAAGUUUCCUGUUUUUACCCCCUCUCAGUUCUGUGGAUUUUGCUUUUAUAUCAUUUUUAUUUAACUUAAAAGUUGUAGCCACAUGAGUCACUGAAACCCACAUGAUCUCACCUACAGAUACAGCUCCUUUUUUUAGGAAAGUUCCUGCUCAGGAACACAGAAUAAGAACAUAGAAUGAGCAUAUAUUCAAUACACAGUCUCGUGCCUCCCCCCGUCCCCCCGAGGGCAGAUGACGAUUACGUUUAAAUGGAAACUUAUCCAGGGAAAGUGUCAGGAGUUCAUAUCUAAGUGCUGCAACAUCCACGACUGUAGCCUGGACAUCAUGGGCUCCAUCUGAGUGGAGAGAGGAGCAUGAGUCACACAACCUGUAUGAGCGCAAGUCUCUGUGGACCGGUUACUGACCCUCUGUGUGUGAGAUGGAGUUUGAGUGUAACUGAGCAGGGAAGGAGCCUACAGGUUCACUCUGAUGUGUGCACCAUAUGCAAGGAGCAGCCAUCAUAGGCAGGGGUGAGGAGGUCAUCUUUUCUUCACCACAGCUUCCGUCUUUAAAUGUUACUCUUCAUCACGAUCACCUGAGGAGCCGAAGGGGCCUUUUGUCACUCCCACUACAAAAGUUUCCAUUAGAGGAGGUUAGUCAAAGCUGGCACACGAGCCACGCUGAGGGUUGUGUGUGGGAUUUCAUUCCUUUGAUAAAAAAAACCACAUGGCAAUUUCUUUUCUCUUACAGUGUUUCAGAUCAAAAAUAAAAAUGUCUCUCAUGAAAAGCGCACUCAA